UACGUAGGGUGCAAGCGUUAAUCGGAAUUACUGGGCGUAAAGCGUGCGCAGGCGGUGAUGUAAGACAGAUGUGAAAUCCCCGGGCUCAACCUGGGACCUGCAUUUGUGACUGCAUCGCUAGAGUACGGUAGAGGGGGAUGGAAUUCCGCGUGUAGCAGUGAAAUGCGUAGAUAUGCGGAGGAACGCCGAUGGCGAAGGCAAUCCCCUGGACCUGUACUGACGCUCAUGCACGAAAGCGUGGGGAGCAAACAGG
RNAcentral lists this ribosomal RNA (253 nucleotides) under uncultured bacterium. RNAcentral's name for it is "partial 16S ribosomal RNA". It matches the Rfam family "Bacterial small subunit ribosomal RNA", at positions 524 to 776 of the family's 1533-position model. The record is from RNAcentral.